CCUACGGGUGGCUGCAGUGGGGAAUAUUGGACAAUGGGGGGAACCCUGAUCCAGCCAUGCCGCGUGUGUGAAUAAGGCCCUCGGGUUGUAAAGCACUUUCAGUGAGGAAGAACGCCUGGUGGUUAAUACCCAUCAGGAAAGACAUCACUCACAGAAGAAGCACCGGCUAACUCCGUGCCAGCAGCCGCGGUAAUACGGAGGGUGCGAGCGUUAAUCGGAAUUACUGGGCGUAAAGCGCGCGUAGGUGGCUUGAUAAGCCGGUUGUGAAAGCCCCGGGCUCAACCUGGGAACGGCAUCCGGAACUGUGAAGCUAGAGUGCAGGAGAGGAAGGUAGAAUUCCCGGUGUAGCGGUGAAAUGCGUAGCGAUCGGGAGGAAUACCAGUGGCGAAGGCGGCCUUCUGGACUGACACUGACACUGAGGUGCGAAAGCGUGGGUAGCAAACAGGAUUAGAUACCCUGGUAGUC
Molecule: ribosomal RNA, 465 nt
Filed under: Vreelandella stevensii
Lineage: Bacteria; Pseudomonadati; Pseudomonadota; Gammaproteobacteria; Oceanospirillales; Halomonadaceae
Description: partial 16S ribosomal RNA
Rfam family: Bacterial small subunit ribosomal RNA
Source: RNAcentral